AUUGAACGCUGGCGGCAUGCUUUACACAUGCAAGUCGAACGGCAGCGCGGGCUUCGGCCUGGCGGCGAGUGGCGAACGGGUGAGUAAUGCAUCGGAACGUGCCCAGUAGUGGGGGAUAGCCCGGCGACAGCCGGAUUAAUACCGCAUACGACCUGAGGGUGAAAGCGGGGGACCGAAAGGCCUCGCGCUAUUGGAGCGGCCGAUGUCGGAUUAGCUAGUUGGUGGGGUAAAGGCUUACCAAGGCGACGAUCCGUAGCUGGUCUGAGAGGACGACCAGCCACACUGGGACUGAGACACGGCCCAGACUCCUACGGGAGGCAGCAGUGGGGAAUUUUGGACAAAGGGGGCAACCCUGAUCCAGCCAUGCCGCGUGCGGGAAGAAGGCCUUCGGGUUGUAAAACGCUUUUGUUCGGGAAGAAAUCCUCUGGGCUAAUACCCCGGGGGGAUGACGGUACCGGAAGAAUAAGCACCGGCUAACUACGUG
Molecule: ribosomal RNA, 484 nt
Filed under: uncultured bacterium
Lineage: Bacteria
Description: partial 16S ribosomal RNA
Rfam family: Bacterial small subunit ribosomal RNA
Source: RNAcentral